RNAcentral lists this ribosomal RNA (253 nucleotides) under uncultured bacterium. Its description in RNAcentral is "partial 16S ribosomal RNA". It matches the Rfam family "Bacterial small subunit ribosomal RNA", at positions 524 to 776 of the family's 1533-position model. The record is from RNAcentral.
UACGAAGGGGGCUAGCGUUGCUCGGAAUUACUGGGCGUAAAGCGCACGUAGGCGGCUCGUUAAGUCGGGGGUGAAAUCCUGGAGCUCAACUCCAGAACUGCCUUCGAUACUGGCGAGCUCGAGUUCGGGAGAGGUGAGUGGAACUGCGAGUGUAGAGGUGAAAUUCGUAGAUAUUCGCAAGAACACCAGUGGCGAAGGCGGCUCACUGGCCCGAUACUGACGCUGAGGUGCGAAAGCGUGGGGAGCAAACAGG